RNAcentral lists this ribosomal RNA (468 nucleotides) under uncultured bacterium. RNAcentral describes it as "partial 16S ribosomal RNA". It matches the Rfam family "Bacterial small subunit ribosomal RNA", at positions 28 to 507 of the family's 1533-position model. The record is from RNAcentral.
GACGAACGCUGGCGGCGUGCUUAACACAUGCAAGUCGAACGGAAAGGCCCUGCUUUUGUGGGGUGCUCGAGUGGCGAACGGGUGAGUAACACGUGAGUAACCUGCCCUUGACUUUGGGAUAACUUCAGGAAACUGGGGCUAAUACCGGAUAGGAGCUCCUGCUGCAUGGUGGGGGUUGGAAAGUUUCGGCGGUUGGGGAUGGACUCGCGGCUUAUCAGCUUGUUGGUGGGGUAGUGGCUUACCAAGGCUUUGACGGGUAGCCGGCCUGAGAGGGUGACCGGCCCCAUUGGGACUGAGGUACGGCCCAGACUCCUACGGGGGGCAGCAGUGGGGAAUAUUGCACAAUGGGCGGAAGCCUGAUGCAGCAACGCCGCGUGCGGGAUGACGGCCUUCGGGUUGUAAACCGCUUUCGCCUGUGACGAAGCGUGAGUGACGGUAAUGGGUAAAGAAGCACCGGCUAACUACGUG